AACGAACGCUGGCGGCAUGCCUAACACAUGCAAGUCGAACGAUUGCCUUCGGGUGAUAGUGGCGCACGGGUGCGUAACGCGUGGGAAUCUGCCCUUAGGUUCGGAAUAACAGCUGGAAACGGCUGCUAAUACCGGAUGAUAUCGCGAGAUCAAAGAUUUAUCGCCUGAGGAUGAGCCCGCGUUGGAUUAGGUAGUUGGUGGGGUAAAGGCCUACCAAGCCGACGAUCCAUAGCUGGUCUGAGAGGAUGAUCAGCCACACUGGGACUGAGACACGGCCCAGACUCCUACGGGGGGCAGCAGGGGGGAAAAUGGGAAAAGGGGCGCAAGCCUGACCCACAAAUGCCGCGUGAGUUAUGAAGGCCCUAGGGUUGUAAAGCCCUUUUCCCCGGGAAGCUAAUGACUGUCCCGGGAAAAUAAACCCCGGCCAACUCCGU
RNAcentral lists this ribosomal RNA (434 nucleotides) under uncultured bacterium. RNAcentral's name for it is "partial 16S ribosomal RNA". It matches the Rfam family "Bacterial small subunit ribosomal RNA", at positions 29 to 506 of the family's 1533-position model. The record is from RNAcentral.